GUAGGUGAACCUGCGGAAGGAUCAUUAACACUUAAAAAACAAAACUUUACCCCUUAUUUCUUCUUUCAAAAACCCUGGGGAGGGACUGACAUGGGGCUUUUACUGCCACUGUCUGGCCUGACUCGCUUUUUUGUUUGAAUGUGUGAACACCUGUGUGGUCUUAUUUCUUUUAUUACGUGACACUAGGCACUUUAGGGGGCGAGUGAGAGUUUGCGCUCUUGUCUCAAGCCUUGACUUGUCUGUGUUUCUC
Molecule: unclassified non-coding RNA, 250 nt
Filed under: plant metagenome
Description: partial contains small subunit ribosomal RNA, internal transcribed spacer 1, and 5.8S ribosomal RNA
Source: RNAcentral